AGUGAACGCUGGCGGUAGGCCUAAUACAUGCAAGUCGAACGGCAACACAGUAAGCUCGUGCCCUUACGGUUGGCGACUGGCGGACGGGUGACGCAUAGAUCGGCAUCCACUUUUACGUGGGGGAUAACGGAAAGACACAUACGCUACUACAGCAUAUGUUCUACGGCAGAAAUCAAUAGAGCAUCGGACCUUUCGUGUCUGUAAUAGCCGACGUCGGAUUAGCUAGUUGGCGGGGUAAGGGCCUACCAAGGCGACGAUACGUAGCUGAUCUGAGAGGAUGAUCGGCCACACUGGAACUGAGACACGGUCCAGACUCCUACGGGAGGCAGCAGUAGGGAAUAUUGGGCAAUGGGCGCAAGCCUGACGCAGCCAUGCCGCGUGAGUGAUGAAGGUCUUCGGGUCGUAAAGCCCUGUUGUUAGGGAAGAAAAGCUGCGGAUGAAAACACGGCUGUUCUGACGGUACCCAAAGAGUAAGCACCGGCUAACUUCGUG
Molecule: ribosomal RNA, 492 nt
Filed under: uncultured bacterium
Lineage: Bacteria
Description: partial 16S ribosomal RNA
Rfam family: Bacterial small subunit ribosomal RNA
Source: RNAcentral